UCAUCAGGAAACCGGGAUGUAUCAGGUUAACAUAGAAGAAGAAUCGGUGUUAAUUACAUCUAGUUCUACUGCAGCUCAACCCCAAUACCUCCACAACGUUUAGUAGCUACAAUACUGGGAUUUAAGGUGAUUCCUUCGAGAUUAGAUAUGGCUCCUAAACACAUGUUCAACACUUAUUAUUAGAGAACAUUUCAGAAGAACCUUUCGAACAGUUAUCAGAUGAAGAAGUAAAUUAUGGUUCAGAAUCAUCUGUUCAGGAGUUAAUAUCAAUAGAGCAAAUAGAGCUUGUCCCAAAAACACCAAGAUCACGUGAGGGCCUUGGAAGCUCCAGUUACGAUAUUGUGGAUACAAAAAGAAGUGAAAUACAGUUGAAAUUACAGAGGAUGUGGUAUCUCUUAGCAAGGAUUAAGAAUUUGAUCUCCAUUUAAUGAGUGAGAUGAAUGAUCGGAGCAAAAAAGAGGGGUGGCAAACUAUUUGGGGAAAAUUUUUAUAAAUCAAAGGAAAAAGCAAGAGGAUGAACUGGUGAACCCGUUGCAAGUUUUAGAAGGAAGAACUCGAAAAAGGAAGUUCAAAGCUCUUUUAUGAGAUACUGGUACAAAAAAGUGAAGGGUAUGUGGAUGUGAAGCAUGAAAAUGCACAUGUUGACAUUCUGGUGCAGAAAGCUCCUAGAUGGGAUGAGCUGCUUCCAUG
Molecule: long non-coding RNA, 690 nt
Organism: Carica papaya (papaya)
Lineage: Eukaryota; Viridiplantae; Streptophyta; Magnoliopsida; Brassicales; Caricaceae
Source: RefSeq, a predicted model, not a curated record